This 254-nucleotide ribosomal RNA is filed under the name uncultured bacterium. RNAcentral describes it as "partial 16S ribosomal RNA". It matches the Rfam family "Bacterial small subunit ribosomal RNA", at positions 524 to 776 of the family's 1533-position model. The record is from RNAcentral.
UACGUAGGGAGCAAGCGUUGUUCGGAUUUACUGGGCGUAAAGGGCGCGUAGGCGGCCACCGCAAGUCGACUGUGAAAUCUCCGGGCUUAACUCGGAAAGGUCAGCCGAUACUGCGGGGCUAGAGUGCAGAAGGGGCAACUGGAAUUCUCGGUGUAGCGGUGAAAUGCGCAGAUAUCAGGAAGAACACCCGUGGCGAAAGCGGCUCUCUGGAACGGUACUGACGCUGAGGCGCGACAGCGUGGGGAGCAAACAGG